Molecule: transfer RNA, 92 nt
Filed under: Catellatospora sp. IY07-71
Lineage: Bacteria; Bacillati; Actinomycetota; Actinomycetes; Micromonosporales; Micromonosporaceae
Description: tRNA-Ala
Source: RNAcentral
GCGGGACGGGGCGCCCCGGGACGCGGUGGGCUGGCUGCUCGCCACCGCCCGCCGCCGGGCGAUCGACCUGUUCCGCCGCCGGUCGGCCCGCG